GAUGAAGAACGUAGCGAAAUGCGAUAAGUAGUGUGAAUUGCAGAAUUCCGUGAAUCAUCGAAUCUUUGAACGCACAUUGCGCCUUCUGGUAUUCCGGGGAGCAUGCCUGUUCGAGCGUCAUUACAACCCUCAAGCUCUGCUUGGUGUUGGGCCCCGCCGCCCCGGCGGGCCCUAAAGUCAGUGGCGGUGCCGUCCGGCUCCGAGCGUAGUAAUUUUUCUCGCUUUGGAGGCCCGGGCGCGUGCUCGCCAUCAACCCCCAAUUUUUUUCAGGUUGACCUCGGAUCAGGUAGGGAUACCCGCUGAACUUAAGCAUAUCAAUAAGCGGAGGA
RNAcentral lists this unclassified non-coding RNA (329 nucleotides) under soil metagenome. Its description in RNAcentral is "partial contains 5.8S ribosomal RNA, internal transcribed spacer 2, and large subunit ribosomal RNA". The stretch from base 1 to 120 matches the Rfam family "5.8S ribosomal RNA", at positions 35 to 154 of the family's 154-position model. The record is from RNAcentral.